Molecule: transfer RNA, 73 nt
Filed under: Chthonomonas calidirosea T49
Lineage: Bacteria; Bacillati; Armatimonadota; Chthonomonadia; Chthonomonadales; Chthonomonadaceae
Description: tRNA-Arg (CCG) (tRNA-Arg-CCG-1-1)
Rfam family: tRNA
About the family: Transfer RNA (tRNA) molecules are approximately 80 nucleotides in length. Their secondary structure includes four short double-helical elements and three loops (D, anti-codon, and T loops).
Source: Rfam by way of RNAcentral
GCGCCUGUAGCUCAGCGGAUAGAGCGUCUGCCUCCGGAGCAGAAGGUCGCAGGUUCGAGUCCUACCAGGCGCG